RNAcentral lists this non-coding RNA (30 nucleotides) under Rattus norvegicus (Norway rat). The record is from RNAcentral. Lineage: Eukaryota; Metazoa; Chordata; Mammalia; Rodentia; Muridae.
UGCCUUUUCCUCUAACGGUUUCAGAGUUUU